GAUUUCUGGUAUGAUGUACCUGUCCCGCCACGGUUAACGUGUGUGAGUGACGGUGUAUGUCUGCCAUCCUUCUAGAGAAUGAUAAUAUUAGCCUUCACUGGUUUGAUAUUAUCAAUUAUCUAGAUCUUUUACUUUGAAAAAAUUAGAGUGUUUCAAGCAGGCGUAAUUGCUAUGAAUACAUUAGCAUGGAAUAAUAAUUUAGGACUUCGGUUCUAUUUUGUUGGUUUCUAGAGCUGAAGUAAUGAUUGAUAGGGAUAGUUGGGGGUGCUAGUAUUCAGCGGCCAGAGGUGAAAUUCUUGGAUUCGCUGAAGACUAACUUAUGCGAAAGCAUU
Molecule: ribosomal RNA, 332 nt
Filed under: Allapsidae sp.
Lineage: Eukaryota; Cercozoa; Glissomonadida; Viridiraptoridae
Description: SSU rRNA
Rfam family: Eukaryotic small subunit ribosomal RNA
Source: RNAcentral